Molecule: long non-coding RNA, 3173 nt
Filed under: Ooceraea biroi (clonal raider ant)
Lineage: Eukaryota; Metazoa; Arthropoda; Insecta; Hymenoptera; Formicidae
Description: uncharacterized LOC113562945
Source: RNAcentral
CCGGUGAACGAUUUAUUCUUCUCGAAUGGAUAUGUUUGGAUUUUCGUCGGCGAAUCUCGCGCGUGUACCGAUGCGAUCCGACAACUUCGCGUAAAAAUUGAUAUGGAAACGGAUAGCGCAUCUAAUAUCUAUGCCGCAACGUUGUCAAACCGGCACGCGAAUCCGAAGGUUGAUGACGAUACGCGUGAAAAAUUACCCGCGUAAACCGCUUUCAAGCAAGGCCGCACGAAUUGUGUGUUAAUGUCAGCUGUGAUAUAAUUCAUUGCCCGCUCAAGGCGAGAAUAAGAAAGGAUUUGAAUGCACGGGAAAAACGUAUCCGUGCGCAUCCUCCGCGAGGAUUUCGCGAGAUGGUACAAUGCUCCACUGCCGAGCGAUUUCACGAAUGACGCGCGCGUUAAAAAUUAACGUGGAAGGCGUGUGAUUCCACUUUACACGUGCCAAGUGCGGUAACUUUGCCCAUAUUCGUCAGCGAUAGCUUGGGAAUUAAGAUUCGGCUCGACAAGAUAUAAAUAUAAAAAGCAGAUAAUCUAAAUCCAAAAUAUAAUCAACUUUGCGAUACAGAACCAAAAUAUUUUUUUCUGCCGUGAUUUAUUCGCGAUUUUUCCUUAACAUGCGAUAAAAAAGAUUAUAAAAGAUUAUGGGCAACAUUUUGUCGAACCGAACUCGAGAGGAAAGAGCGAGAGAGAGCCGAGAGGCGCUUAUUACGUAACUCUAAGCGCGCGAUAGCAUAAGAUCCGUAUAAAAUUCACGAAGUAAUCGUCGUCGUCGCGAUGUUUAAUGAGCCGCGCGAAUGCAUCGAAUUAUCUCGCGUGCUACUCGAUAUAUUAACCGCUUCGCACCGCCCGUUAUCGCACGUUAUCGUACGCGCAAGCAGUCCGAGAUAGUGUCGUUUAGCCAGUAGGAAUAACAGAUAAUCGCGAAAUUGAGCUCGCGGUCUGCCUGUGGAUCGAGAUUUCCCGUGAAAGUCUCACGGCAUUGAUAUCCCACAAAGAGACACAGUUACACCGUGCACACGUACAUUACAAACGAUGAAUAUUUAUGAUUAUUGUUCGACAGAAACGGUAUUAUUAUCGCGACGCAGAACGUCGUAGAACCGCUCGAAACUACGUAGCUCUCGAAAAUGAAUAUGCAUAGGUGCCGAUUUAACUCGCUAAUUCUAUUAGUAUAUUUAAAACGGGCUCCUCUUGCUUACGGAAUUCCUUCCCGUUUCACAAUUUCGUGCCGCGACGGUGAGGAGGGGGGAGGGAACGCGGUUUUCGGCGCCGCGGGACACUCGGUGGACGCUCGACGGGACGAAAUGUAAAAAAGAAAAAAAAAAAGAGGAAGAAAAGGAGGAUAUCGCGAUCGGACAUCUCACGACGUUACCGAAGCUGGGCAUUAGCAUCGACGGCGGUUAGCGCCGCUGGUUUGGCACGGUCACGAUGCGCCCGUAAAAUUUACAGCGCCGUAAAGGCACGUCGCGCGUGCCGUCGACUCGACCGGCAGCCGCAGCCGCAGCCGCACGGACGUCGAUGUCCUGUCGUAAAGAAUUUUCCCAGCGCGCGUUGAUAUCCUAGUUUACGUCACGUUCCCUGUCGACGUUGCCCGCGAGCGUGCAGGACGGUCGUGCGCAUUAACGAAAAUCAAUAACCGAUAAUUAUGGUCGCCGUGGUGGCUUUUCUCUCGCCCUCGUCGCCGUCGUCGUCUUUGUCCCACGUUCGCCGCCGAGACGCCGAACGACUGCCACGGUGGGGGUUUCCCGCGGGAGGCGCAUUUCUGCGGGAGAGAGCGAGAGAAAGAGAGAGGUUGGAAACGCGGUCACGACGACGACGACGCGCGGCGAGCGAAGAAAGCCAAGGCGACGCUAUUUUUCCCGCACGAACGGACGGGUGGAUGGACGUGUAUGGACGGACGGACGGACGGACGGACGAGCGCAACACAGUUGCUGCGAGCGAGCGGACGAGAACGGCCGGCUGGCUCGGCGAUAAGAGAGAGAGAGGACGGGCUUGGCAACGUCGGCAACGCGGCACCGGAGAGGAUCUAUAUCCCGACUCGACUCGGUUCGGCUUCGGCAACGCUCGCCGCCUCGUCGCCGCGAGACCACGUGACUCGCGCAACGCGUUCUUCUAUCUACUCGCUAUCCGGUGGACAUCGGCGGACGGAUCUCGCCCGCCGUGUAUCCGUGUGUCGGCUCUCCGCACGCCGCCGAGACGCGAUGAAGAAUCGACGCGACGAUAGACGGAAACGCGAAUUGGAGCUUCUGCAAACACCAUGAGGACGGUUUUGCGAGACGCGCGACGAACCGCGCAAACAUAAUUCUCAUUAACCUCAUUGCGAUGUAACAGAAUAAAUUAAAAAAAAAACAAGAAAUUUGAAAGUCUAAAUUUCCAAUUUAAUGUGGAAUAAGAUGCAAGAUUAAUGCGACGACAACUCGACGAAGCCUUUACUCUUUCAGGGAGCAUGCGAACAAUAGAACGUCGCUCUCGCUUAAGGGGGGAGCCUGCUUUAGAACGCUGAAAAUAAGAGGUAGGUCGUCCUGAAGAAAUCUUAGUGCAGCCUCGUCGCCGCGAGACCACGUGAUUCACGCAACGCGUUCUUCUAUCUACUCGCUAUCCGGUGGACAUCGGCGGACGGAUCUCGCCCGCCGUGUAUCCGUGUGUCGGCUCUCCGCACGCCGCCGAGACGCGAUGAAGAAUCGACGCGACGAUAGACGGAAACGCGAAUUGGAGCUUCUGCAAACACCAUGAGGACGGUUUUGCGAGAGACGCGCGACGAACCGCGCAAACAUAAUUCUCAUUAACCUCAGUGCGAUGUAACAGAAUAAAUUAAAAAAAAAACAAGAAAUUUGAAAGUCUAAAUUUCCAAUUUAAUGUGGAAUAAGAUGCAAGAUUAAUGCGACGACAACUCGACGAAGCCUUUACUCUUUCAGGGAGCAUGCGAACAAUAGAACGUCGCUCUCGCUUAAGGGGGGAGCCUGCUUUAGAACGCUGAAAAUAAGAGGUAGGUCGUCCUGGAGAAAUCUUAGUGCAGCCUCGUCGCCGCGAGACCACGUGACUCACGCAACGCGUUCUUCUAUCUACUCGCUAUCCGGUGGACAUCGGCGGACGGAUCUCGCCCGCCGUGUAUCCGUGUGUCGGCUCUCCGCACGCCGCCGAGACGCGAUGAAGAAUCGACGCGACGAUAGACGGAAACGC